GAUGAACGCUGGCUACAGGCUUAACACAUGCAAGUCGAGGGGCAGCAUGCCGGUUGCUUGCAACCGGUGAUGGCGACCGGCGCACGGGUGAGUAACGCGUAUCCAACCUUCCCGCGACCAAGGGAUAACCUGCCGAAAGGCAGACUAAUACCUUAUGUCCUCCUUUGAAGGCAUCUGACGAGGAGCAAAGAUCCGUCGGUCACGGAUGGGGAUGCGUCCGAUUAGCUUGUUGGCGGGGCAACGGCCCACCAAGGCUUCGAUCGGUAGGGGUUCUGAGAGGAAGGCCCCCCACACUGGAACUGAGACACGGUCCAGACUCCUACGGGAGGCAGCAGUGAGGAAUAUUGGUCAAUGGGCGGAAGCCUGAACCAGCCAAGUAGCGUGCAGGAUGACGGCCCUACGGGUUGUAAACUGCUUUUAUGCGGGGAUAAAGUUGCCCACGUGUGGGUUUUUGCAGGUACCGCAUGAAUAAGGACCGGCUAAUUCCGUGCCAGCAGCCGCGGUAAUACGGAAGGUCCGGGCGUUAUCCGGAUUUAUUGGGUUUAAAGGGAGCGCAGGCCGCCGUGCAAGCGUGCCGUGAAAAGCAGCGGCCCAACCGCUGCCCUGCGGCGCGAACUGCUUGGCUUGAGUGCGCCGGAAGCGGGCGGAAUUCGUGGUGUAGCGGUGAAAUGCUUAGAUAUCACGAAGAACCCCGAUUGCGAAGGCAGCCCGCUGUGGCGCCACUGACGCUGAGGCUCGAAGGUGCGGGUAUCGAACAGGAUUAGAUACCCUGGUAGUCCGCACGGUAAACGAUGGAUACCCGCUGUCCGGCCCGUAUGGUCUGGGCGGCCAAGCGAAAGCGUUUAGUAUCCCACCUGGGGAGUA
RNAcentral lists this ribosomal RNA (864 nucleotides) under uncultured organism. Its description in RNAcentral is "SSU rRNA". It matches the Rfam family "Bacterial small subunit ribosomal RNA", at positions 28 to 882 of the family's 1533-position model. The record is from RNAcentral.